GUAUGGGGAUCUGCCCGAUAGAGGGGGAUAACUACUGGAAACGGUGGGUAAUACCGCAUAAUGUCUACGGACCAAAGCAGGGGCUCUUCGGACCUUGCACUAUCGGAUGAACCCAUAUGGGAUUAGCUAGUAGGUGGGGUAAAGGCUCACCUAGGCGACGAUCUCUAGCUGGUCUGAGAGGAUGAUCAGCCACACUGGGACUGAGACACGGCCCAG
Molecule: ribosomal RNA, 216 nt
Filed under: uncultured bacterium
Lineage: Bacteria
Description: partial 16S ribosomal RNA
Rfam family: Bacterial small subunit ribosomal RNA
Source: RNAcentral